CUGUUAUGCUUUCAUAGUCGUGCAAUGCCUCAUGGGACAUGUAGUUCCACAACAACCGGAGUGCCAAGUGUUGCCUACUCCUGCAGUAG
Molecule: long non-coding RNA, 89 nt
Organism: Nanorana parkeri
Lineage: Eukaryota; Metazoa; Chordata; Amphibia; Anura; Dicroglossidae
Exons: 3
Source: RefSeq, a predicted model, not a curated record